RNAcentral lists this non-coding RNA (1268 nucleotides) under Pan troglodytes (chimpanzee). The record is from RNAcentral. Lineage: Eukaryota; Metazoa; Chordata; Mammalia; Primates; Hominidae.
GGGGAGCAGAAGGCCGCGGGCGGGCGGCUGGCGCGCUGUGUACUUAGGUCGUGUGCUGGGGCUUUUCUCUCCCAGGAGCCGGCGGGGGGAGGGGAGGGGGAGGGGCCACCGCUCCGCCUUCUCCUUUUCGCAAUGUUGACGCAAUCUAUAAAUAGUGGAACAAAAGGACCAACUUCCUCGGAGCUUUGCUGAAACUGCACAAAAAAUCGAGCCGGGGGGUUCCCUGGUCCCCGGCGAUGGGGCGGGGAGCGCGGCGCCGGGGGAGGGGGCGGGCGCGGCGGCGCGGGCCCCGCCGAGGGGGGACACCUGGCUGAGGCACAGCUGCCGCCGCGCCUUUCCGCGCGAGCCCAGAGCUCCGAUCCCUGCGCGGGCUCGAGAGCUCGCCCCGAACGGGGGUCUUCCUCCUCCGCCGUUGACAGGUUUUGACCUGUAGCAGAGAACCAAUUCUGGAGAACAGCCUCACUUCUUUGAUUGAAUACUCACAUAAUGCACUGGAACAUGACAUGAGAUUAAGGUUUAAUAAUGAUAGAAUGAAGACCGCAAUAAAAGAGACCUCUACUUAGCUCAGCAAUUCUUACCUUUCUUACCUAUUUGAUGAAGAUGUCUUUUGAAAGGUGUACUGCAAGGAACAAAAUGUUUGUAAAUUCUGCUUUUACCAAGGUGGAUAAUUACUGUACCUUCCUCAUGGAAAAAGUUUUAUUUAAAGUGUUACUUCUCAUUGAAUACUAUCAAAAAGGGAAAAAAAAAUGACCUAAACUUUUGAGAUAGAUUUGGCUCUAGGCCUACUCUAGGUCCGGUACUUCACUAUAGUCUAUAAAAGAUGGUCCCUGUCAGCAAAGAACUGUAACCUGUAUGAGAAUAUUAUACUAACAUACAAGAAACAAGUAGAGAAUAAUGGAAUGUAAACUCUGGCUUGCUAACUUAAGUGUGGUAGAAGCUUGAAGGAAAUGUGGACUUAAACUUAUCAGAGAAGACUUAUAAGAGGAUAUGAAAGGUGUAAAUUUUGAUACCACCAUUGCCGCCUUCCCCUCAAAAAAGGUGAGAACUGACUAAACUACUGGUACUUAGACCAUGUGGAGAAGGAACUGAAAAUGGAAACAGAAACACGUCUGUACAGAGCAGAGUGUCAGAUAAUAGCUCAUUUUAGUAGAGGGCAAUAAAUGCCACAUGAGAUGAUCACCUCAGCAGAAAACUGUAAGUAAAUGGAGACUUACAGGAGAAUUGAACAGUUGUUUCUGCUGACUCAGUAAAAAGUCUUCAUUUUAUAA